RNAcentral lists this unclassified non-coding RNA (240 nucleotides) under soil metagenome. RNAcentral describes it as "partial contains 5.8S ribosomal RNA, internal transcribed spacer 2, and large subunit ribosomal RNA". The record is from RNAcentral.
AACAUCGCGCACCUGCGGGAACCUGCGGAGGGAUCAUUACCGAGUUUACAAACUCCCAACCCUUUGUGAACCUUACCAUAUUGUUGCUUCGGCGGGACCGCCCCGGCGCCUUCGGGCCCGGAACCAGGCGCCCGCCGGAGGCCCCAAACUCUUAUGUCUUUAGUGGUUUUCUCCUCUGAGUGACACAUAAACAAAUAAAUAAAAACUUUCAACAACGGAUCUCAGAUCGGAAGAGCACAC